RNAcentral lists this long non-coding RNA (480 nucleotides) under Solanum tuberosum (potato). RNAcentral describes it as "long non-coding RNA (STUB_LNC004207)". Lineage: Eukaryota; Viridiplantae; Streptophyta; Magnoliopsida; Solanales; Solanaceae. The record is from RNAcentral.
GCCAUUCCAUAUAUCUACUAGAACAUCAACUUUCUUUAUUUUAUCGUGAAUCAAUCUAUAUUUUUAGAUGACCAAAGGUACAGACACAUAACCAACUUUUAUCAUAUUCCAAUAUUCUUGACCCACACUAAAUUAAUGCUAUAAAUAUCCUGAGCCAUACCUAGUCUGAAUCAACAACAUAUAUAGUCCCCACAGUUGGAUCAUAAGAUGAUUAAUGAAUUAAGCUGAGGGGUUUUGACUAGUAUUUAUCACUGCUCUGAAAAAUGUUUUGGUUGGAUGGAGAAAGGCAUGUGCUCAUAGAAUUCUUCUCUUCUUCCUUUCGAAAAUUUUCACUAAAGGGUUCGAACAAUAAAAAUAUUUUAAACCUCCUAAAUCACUAAGUAGCAUAAAAAUCUUAUAAAUGGUGUAAUUUUUACUUGAGAGGGUUUGGGUGAGAACCCUUGCCCCUCCUAGGUCCGCCACUGGCUCCAUUAAAAUGUC